CGUGUAGGCUGCUCUGCAAGUCGGAUGUGAAAGCCCUGGGCUCAACCUAGGAAGUGCAUUCGAAACUGCAAAGCUUGAGUCCUGGAGAGGAAGGCGGAAUUCUCGGUGUAGAGGUGAAAUUCGUAGAUAUCGAGAGGAACACCGGUGGCGAAGGCGGCCUUCUGGACAGUGACUGACGCUGAGACGCGAAAGCGUGGGGAGCAAACAGGAUUAGAUACCCUGGUAGUCCACGCCGUAAACGAUGGGUGCUAGGUGUCGCGGGCUUUGACCCCUGCGGUGCCGUAGCUAACGCAUUAAGCACCCCGCCUGGGGAGUACGGCCGCAAGGCUAAA
RNAcentral lists this ribosomal RNA (332 nucleotides) under uncultured bacterium. RNAcentral's name for it is "bacterial SSU rRNA". It matches the Rfam family "Bacterial small subunit ribosomal RNA", at positions 568 to 898 of the family's 1533-position model. The record is from RNAcentral.